AUGCCAGUUCUCCCUCUCAGGUCAGGUGAACACAGACGCUGUCACAUGACUCGUGUUUUGACAGCCUCAGCGCUUUUGAAUGUUUUCUCAUUGUGUAGCUGCAGUCCGUCAGCUGUGAAACACGAGCGAAGUGUCCGGUAACAUGUCCCGCUCCGGCUCACACUCUCACCGGGUGCGGUGGUGGUGUUUAAUAGUGGCUGUGGUCGCUGUGUGGGUGCAGCAGGUGGAGGGAGUCUGGCCGCUGCCGCAGCAGCUCCAUCAGUCCGCGGACAGGGACUGUCUGAGUCCUCAGCGCUUCUCCUUCACUUACGGGAGGGACUCGGCUGCGCAGACUGGAUGCUCCGUCCUGGAUGCUGCUUUCAAAAGAUACUUCUCCAUCAUAUUCCCUGACUUCACAACACUAUCAGAAAAUGUGCUUCAGUACAUGUGGUCGGAGCCUCAACCCUUUGUGGUAUCAGUGAGCGUCAAAACCAGAGGAUGUGACGGCUACCCUGACGAAGAUUCAGAUGAGAGCUAUACGCUGAGUGUGUCAGAGGGCCAGGCUGUGCUGAGAUCAGUGUCUGUAUGGGGCGCUUUGAGAGGUCUGGAGUCCUUAAGUCAGCUUGUGUACCAGGAUGAUUAUGGCACUUAUUUUAUCAACAAGACAGAGAUUGUAGACUUCCCACGCUUUGCAUUCAGAGGACUUUUACUGGACACUUCAAGGCAUUAUUUACCUCUCUAUGCUAUUUUGAAGACUCUGGAUGCAAUGGCCUACAGUAAAUUGAAUGUCUUUCAUUGGCACAUUGUGGAUGAUCCUUCCUUCCCGUAUCAGAGCCGCACUUUUCCUGACCUCAGUAAUAAGGGAGCUUUUCAUCCGUUCACUCACAUCUACACACAGUCAGAUGUGAUCAGGGUGAUUGAACAUGCCAGAAUGAGAGGGAUUAGAGUCGUUCCUGAGUUUGACUCUCCUGGACACACUCAGUCAUGGGGGAAAGGACAGCCAGGUCUCUUGACUCCCUGUUACAAGGGCAGUGUGCCGUCUGGUUCAUUCGGACCUGUCGAUCCAACAGUAGACACUACUUAUAAGUUCAUGGCAAGCCUCUUGAAAGAGGUGAAGUUUGUCUUUCCUGACUCUUAUGUUCAUUUAGGAGGGGAUGAGGUCAGUUUUGCCUGCUGGCAGUCAAAUCCCAAUGUGCGGAAGUUUAUGGAAAAGAUGGGUUUUGGGAAGGAUUUUACUAAACUGGAAUCAUUCUAUAUGGAGAGUAUAAUGAACAUGACCGCCGCUCUCAACAAAACCUCCAUUGUUUGGCAGGACGUGUUUGACUACCAUGAGCGACCCAGAUCUAAGUACGUGGUGGAGGUCUGGAAGCAGGGCUGUUACCUGUGCAAGAUGCGCCGGGUGACUAAGGCAGGGUUAAAGGUCAUCCUGGCGGCCCCUUUCUACCUGGACCUGCCGAUACCCACUCACAGCUGGGCCCGUUACUACAACGUGCGGCCCUUAGCCUUCAGGGAUUCCACAGGACACGGUUCUGGAGAUCUGGAAGGGUGCAAAAUACCAGACUGAACUGAGCAGGAUGACCCAGGCUGGGCACAGGGUCCUGCUCUCUGCCCCCUGGUACAUCAACCACAUCAGCUACGGCCAGGACUGGCGCAACUCCUACGCAGUGCAGCCCCAGAAUUUCUCCGGCACAGAUGAGCAAAAGAAGUUGGUGAUUGGUGGAGAAGUCGCCAUGUGGGGUGAAUACGUGGACGCCACCAAUCUGAGCCCACGCCUGUGGCCGAGAGCCUGUGCUGCAGCGGAGAGGUUGUGGAGCAAUGAAGAAAAAACCCUGAACGCUGAUCUGGCCUUCCCACGUCUGAAGGAGUUUCGCUGUGAACUUUUAAGGCGGGGUAUUCAAGCGGAGCCUCUGUUUGUUGGCCAUUGCAGACAUGAGUAUGAUGGCCUGUAAGUUCUCUGAUCAGCCACUAAAUUGUGUUUGGGCACUGAAAUAUUGCUUUGGAAUUUGCUCAAUACUGUAUAUUUUGAUCAGUUUAUUAUUGAUCAUGUAAACUGACUUUUACAAAAUAAUUUUUUUAAUAAAGAUCUAUUCAACAAUGA
RNA transcript from Cyprinus carpio (common carp), 2077 nucleotides. It is a transcript of the gene named hexosaminidase subunit alpha, with no coding region annotated. NCBI's taxonomy places the organism in Eukaryota, Metazoa, Chordata, Actinopteri, Cypriniformes, Cyprinidae. The record is from RefSeq and is a predicted model, not a curated record.